UGUUCAGUAUAAGUAUAUCCCAUGUAAUAUUUGGGAUAUAUUUAUACUAAUC
Molecule: microRNA precursor, 52 nt
Filed under: Ailuropoda melanoleuca (giant panda)
Lineage: Eukaryota; Metazoa; Chordata; Mammalia; Carnivora; Ursidae
Description: mir-1302 microRNA precursor family
Rfam family: mir-1302 microRNA precursor family
Source: Rfam by way of RNAcentral